UGGCUCAGGAUGAACGCUAGCUACAGGCUUAACACAUGCAAGUCGAGGGGCAGCAUGGUCUUAGCUUGCUAAGGCCGAUGGCGACCGGCGCACGGGUGAGUAACACGUAUCCAACCUGCCGUCUACUCUUGGACAGCCUUCUGAAAGGAAGAUUAAUACAAGAUGGCAUCAUGAGUCCACAUGUUCACAUGAUUAAAGGUAUUCCGGUAGACGAUGGGGAUGCGUUCCAUUAGAUAGUAGGCGGGGUAACGGCCCACCUAGUCUUCGAUGGAUAGGGGUUCUGAGAGGAAGGUCCCCCACAUUGGAACUGAGACACGGUCCAAACUCCUACGGGAGGCAGCAGUGAGGAAUAUUGGUCAAUGGGCGAGAGCCUGAACCAGCCAAGUAGCGUGAAGGAUGACUGCCCUAUGGGUUGUAAACUUCUUUUAUAAAGGAAUAAAGUCGGGUAUGGAUACCCGUUUGCAUGUACUUUAUGAAUAAGGAUCGGCUAACUCCGUGCCAGCAGCCGCGGUAAUACGGAGGAUCCGAGCGUUAUCCGGAUUUAUUGGGUUUAAAGGGAGCGUAGAUGGAUGUUUAAGUCAGUUGUGAAAGUUUGCGGCUCAACCGUAAAAUUGCAGUUGAUACUGGAUAUCUUGAGUGCAGUUGAGGCAGGCGGAAUUCGUGGUGUAGCGGUGAAAUGCUUAGAUAUCACGAAGAACUCCGAUUGCGAAGGCAGCCUGCUAAGCUGCAACUGACAUUGAGGCUCGAAAGUGUGGGUAUCAAACAGGAUUAGAUACCCUGGUAGUCCACACGGUAAACGAUGAAUACUCGCUGUUUGCGAUAUACAGCAAGCGGCCAAGCGAAAGCGUUAAGUAUUCCACCUGGAGAGUACGCCGGCAACGGUGAAACUCAAAGGAAUUGACGGGGGCCCGCACAAGCGGAGGAACAUGUGGUUUAAUUCGAUGAUACGCGAGGAACCUUACCCGGGCUUAAAUUGCAGAUGAAUUACGGUGAAAGCCGUAAGCCGCAAGGCAUCUGUGAAGGUGCUGCAUGGUUGUCGUCAGCUCGUGCCGUGAGGUGUCGGCUUAAGUGCCAUAACGAGCGCAACCCUUGUUGUCAGUUACUAACAGGUUCCGCUGAGGACUCUGACAAGACUGCCAUCGUAAGAUGUGAGGAAGGUGGGGAUGACGUCAAAUCAGCACGGCCCUUACGUCCGGGGCUACACACGUGUUACAAUGGGGGGUACAGAGGGCCGCUACCACGCGAGUGGAUGCCAAUCCCAAAAACCUCUCUCAGUUCGGACUGGAGUCUGCAACCCGACUCCACGAAGCUGGAUUCGCUAGUAAUCGCGCAUCAGCCACGGCGCGGUGAAUACGUUCCCGGGCCUUGUACACACCGCCCGUCAAGCCAUGGGAGCCGGGGGUACCUGAAGUGCGUAACCGCGAGGAGCGCCCUAGGGUA
Molecule: ribosomal RNA, 1440 nt
Filed under: uncultured bacterium
Lineage: Bacteria
Description: 16S ribosomal RNA
Rfam family: Bacterial small subunit ribosomal RNA
Source: RNAcentral